UACGUAGGGGGCAAGCGUUGUCCGGAAUCAUUGGGCGUAAAGAGCGUGUAGGCGGCCCGGUAAGUCCGCUGUGAAAGUCCAGGGCUCAACCCUGGGAUGCCGGUGGAUACUGUCGGACUAGAGUACGGAAGAGGCGAGUGGAAUUCCCGGUGUAGCGGUGAAAUGCGCAGAUAUCGGGAGGAACACCAAUUGCGAAGGCAGCUCGCUGGGACGUCACUGACGCUGAGACGCGAAAGCGUGGGGAGCAAACAGG
Molecule: ribosomal RNA, 253 nt
Filed under: uncultured bacterium
Lineage: Bacteria
Description: partial 16S ribosomal RNA
Rfam family: Bacterial small subunit ribosomal RNA
Source: RNAcentral